AAGUAGUUUACUACUUUGCCGGCGAGCGGCGGACGGGUGAGUAAUGUCUGGGGAUCUGCCUGAUGGAGGGGGAUAACUACUGGAAACGGUGGCUAAUACCGCAUGACCUCGCAAGAGCAAAGUGGGGGACCUUAGGGCCUCACGCCAUCGGAUGAACCCAGAUGGGAUUAGCUAGUAGGUGGGGUAAUGGCUCACCUAGGCGACGAUCCCUAGCUGGUCUGAGAGGAUGACCAGCCACACUGGAACUGAGACACGGUCCAGACUCCUACGGGAGGCAGCAGUGGGGAAUAUUGCACAAUGGGCGCAAGCCUGAUGCAGCCAUGCCGCGUGUGUGAAGAAGGCCUUCGGGUUGUAAAGCACUUUCAGCGAGGAGGAAGGGGUUGAGUUUAAUACGCUCAAUCAUUGACGUUACUCGCAGAAGAAGCACCGGCUAACUCCGUGCCAGCAGCCGCGGUAAUACGGAGGGUGCAAGCGUUAAUCGGAAUUACUGGGCGUAAAGCGCACGCAGGCGGUUUGUUAAGUCAGAUGUGAAAUCCCCGCGCUUAACGUGGGAACUGCAUUUGAAACUGGCAAGCUAGAGUCUUGUAGAGGGGGGUAGAAUUCCAGGUGUAGCGGUGAAAUGCGUAGAGAUCUGGAGGAAUACCGGUGGCGAAGGCGGCCCCCUGGACAAAGACUGACGCUCAGGUGCGAAAGCGUGGGGAGCAAGCAGGAUUAGAUACCCUGGUAGUCCACGCUGUAAACGAUGUCGACUUGGAGGUUGUGCCCUUGAGGCGUGGCUUCCGGAGCUAACGCGUUAAGUCGACCGCCUGGGGAGUACGGCCGCAAGGUUAAAACUCAAAUGAAUUGACGGGGGCCCGCACAAGCGGUGGAGCAUGUGGUUUAAUUCGAUGCAACGCGAGAACCUUACCUACUCUUGACAUCCACAGAAUUUGGCAGAGAUGCUAAAGUGCCUUCGGGAACUGUGAGACA
Molecule: ribosomal RNA, 969 nt
Filed under: Yersinia pseudotuberculosis
Lineage: Bacteria; Pseudomonadati; Pseudomonadota; Gammaproteobacteria; Enterobacterales; Yersiniaceae
Description: bacterial SSU rRNA
Rfam family: Bacterial small subunit ribosomal RNA
Source: RNAcentral